CCAGGUCUCAGCUGCUGGUUUGUCUGCGGGAGACGAGGGCAGAGAAGAAGACAAGGCGUAAAGUUCUGAGAGAGUUUGAGGACGAGUUUUACCGUCAGACUGGAAGAAUCUGCCAGAAAGAGGAUCGCACUCCGAUGAAGGAAGAAUACCAGGAAUACAAACAGCUCAAGGCUAAACUGCGUCUGCUGGAAGUCCUCCUCAGCAAACAGGAAGUCACCAAAACCGUGUGAGAGGAAGUGGAAACUCCCACAGACUCCCUCCACCCUGAAACUCUGCAUGAGAAAAGAGCUUUCUGUGUUGAGAGGAGAGGAAGAGUUACAGAAAGAAACGUGUUGAGGUGCACCGACAUGUUCUUCCUUUCUAUUAUUUAUUUCAGCUACUUCAGCUGCAGAGCUCAAGAGAGCAGAACGUCGCAGCCUGAAAUAAAACUAGUGCUUAACGUUGUGAAACAUCUGUUGGGUCAGGUUUAGGAAAAGUUCAUGGUUUGGGUCAAAAUAACUACGUUACAUACGAGGUCCAGUGUGUUUGUGAGGAUCUAAUGACAGAAAUGCAAGAUGAGGUCCAUAACUAUGUUCUCAGCGCUGCAUAAAGACCUUAAUGUUGUUAUUACCUUAGAAUGAGACAUUUUCUGUCCACAGACACCUCUCACAUGGAGGUCACCCUGUUGCACCGCCAUGUUUCUACAGUAGCCCAAACGGACAAACUGCUCUGCAGAGCGCGUUUUAUUAGGAGGAGGAGGAACAAAUGGAGGCGCAUACGUGUUAUUUAGCAGGAGAGCUGACGGAGCAUGUCGUAGCUUCUCCUGCUCGCUUGGAAAGGGAGGGGUGAACGUUGACUGAGCCUUUGGUUUCAGUUUGAAACCUUCACCACUAGAUGCCACUAAAACCUCCAAACUGAACCUUUAAAUUACAUAACUUACGUAACAUCACCAAUGGUGGCUUUUUGUUUCACACAGGAAAUGAACACCAGUCCCCUGUGUGAAAGUCUGGUUUUUAUUCCACCCUAACCACCUCCUUACUCUGACUUUUCUGUUUUAUUGAUAUAGCUAUGAGAACAGUCUGGUUUUUAAGAGAAGUUAACUUAACGUUUGAAGGUCAACCGGAACAACACACUGAUUUAAAAGAGAAGAACAUUUUGGUGCAUGCUCUCUCUCUGAGUUAGAUGCUCAGAUUGACUCUGGCGCCACAUAUAAAGCUGCAGCAGGUUAUCUUAGCAUAAAGACUGGAAGCGUAGACAUAGUGCUAUGUUAUUAAAGUUUCCAUUAACAUGAUACAUGUUUGAUGCCAACAUACUACAGUUAGAGUAUUUUAAUGUUAUGGUUGCAUGUUAACGUUUAACAGAACGUGUUGGUAGAAACUUUCUCACUUCUUCCUCUCCAAACUGAACAUGUGAAAAUACUGUAAAUACUCCAGCAGAGUUUUCUAAAGUUUAAAAGAGACCAGACGUCUCUCUGUACCAUCUUCUGCUCUGUCAGUGGAAACGUACCAGCAGCCUACUGUGUGUAUUUAUUGACCUGCAUCGUCAAGUCUCAGUCAUUUAAUACAGCUGCAUUUGUUCCAGUCUGCAAAGAUGAGGAUGUUUCUGUGGGUGAAACUAAGGUGUUACUUCCAUCUGGUUUGAUUUAAUGGACCAAAACAUUUUUUGUCUAAUUGAAAGCACUUUAAUGUGUCGCCGGGGUCCUGGAGGACAAAGACGGUGGCGGGUUUGAUGAUGAAGCAGCAGGACCUUCCUUCCAAAAAGACCAGUAACUGCAGUUUGGUGUCUGAGGAUUGAGAAUCUGAAACCUGAAUCAUAAAGCAAAGGAUUCUGGGACAAAGCAGUAGUGCCGUGUAUGAGCACAGCCUUGGUUCGUCCGUACAGCCAUUAGCUCUGCUGGCAUGAACGUCUGUAUUAACGAGCUGAUUUAUUGGAACGUGAGGUAGACGUUGAUGAAGUCGACGUCAGAAAUCAGAGAGCUGACGAUGUUCAGCGUCGCGUUGAGGUGCGUUCUGACUGGAAACGUGUGGGACGAAGAUGCAAUGUACCAAUGAUUGUUGUUGUUCUGCAUGUCAAGAUAUUAUUUAAACAGCAACAUGGAGAUAUGUGGAGGAUUAUAUCAUAGCACUUAAUGAUGACAAAGGGAAUUUACUUACUUUGAUAUGCAAAAUGGUCUGUGGAGAGAUGCAGGUGAACAUGCAGGUGAACUGCGUCCUCCAGGUUUACUGUGUUAAGGGUCACGUUGUACGACGUAGCUGUCGUGCUUCUCAGAGCCGAGUUCAGCCCCGACAAACUGCAGGUGAUGCCUUGAACACCCUGUUGUGAACACAGGCGCGCUGCACUUCACUGCCUUUUUAAUAUGGCAGUGCUUACAUACACGUCGCUGCUGAUUGGGUAACACACUCUGACACGCCCACCAAACGAGGGGAAACGUACCUCACAGUCUGUUGCGCACCGUUUCAAGGAAACUUGUCGUCCAACCUGCACAAAACCAGUGUAAAGUGUUUUGAGAUUGAGCGCUCUCGAGAUUUUUGACAACCCUGCCUCUGAUUGGCUGGUACUCGUUGCCUCCGUUGGUUAAUGCUGCGCUCUAGUCACAGUUGGUCUUGAAUUUCACAGUUUAAGUUUCUGACUUCCGACCUGAAAGCGUUCCAGGUGCAUUACGCCAAACAUGGACUAAAAACAUGGCUGACCGUGACAAACUGAUGCUUCUUUGCCAAGUGUGCGCACAGCUGAACCCUCAGCAGUGAGUGGUGUUAAAUAAAAAGAGCAACAUAAAUAUACGUCUCUCGUUUACGGUGUUCCCGUCUCGCUAGAUCAGUGUGUAAUCUGCAAAAGUCAGAGAUACUGUAACCAGCUGCCCAAUAACACUGGCACUUUCUUACUCCCAGAACAGGUUUUAUUAUAUGAUAGGGUGUAUUAUUUUAAUAAAAUACAGGCAAAUAUACUUUACGUUGCCUUUUAGUUGAUGGUUUACCAUUUACAGUAUGUGCUUCCAUGGAGAUGCCUCGAGUUCACAAGUGGAGCUCUGACUCGGAGUAUGUACUUUUCACUACAUGGAGGUUAGAAAUUUUCGUUUUGAGAAGUCUGGAACGCAGCAUUAGGUUAGGGUUAGCGAGGGCUGCAAUUGGCUGCUGUUUUCCCCAACAUGUUUCUGUUGCCGGUGGAGUUUCUUUGAAAGAGAAGGUAACAAGAAGGAAGUUAUAGACCAUCGGUAGGUUUCUCCUUCUUUGUAAGAAACGUCUAAUCGAGCGCCGACACAGCAGGACAGCUGCUCUGAAUCAAUGAAUGAACGAAACUGCGGUCGUCAUCUGUUCAGCCAAAUAAUAAUAAGUUACCCGGAUCUAACUGUAAGUACGUGCGUUGGCCACAGUCUCUCUGUAUCACCAAGUAAAUAAGAGUGAACUAUAUAAACGGUCUGAUCAUUUACAACACAUGCGUCUAGUGUUGAUGGGUGGAAUUUUUACCCUUUAAAUCGACCCAUAUCCACACAAAACAUAAUCCAGCAAGUGAAACUUUUUUACUGGAAAACCAGUUUAGUAUGUAAAAAUCAAAUGUUUAAUCGACAGGUUGAGCUGUAACACCUGGAAAUGUGCAAUAGUUGAAAGGUUGUAUUCCUGAAGUCCGUGCUAACAUGUCGCCGCGUCUCACUAAGAAACAAACGUCUCACUGAGGUUAUUUUAUAUUGUGUUGGAUGCAGACUUUCGGUGCACGUUGGUGUUGGUGUUUUGACCUUCGUCAUGCUGAUUAAAUAUGUCUCUGUUGUGCAGUUCUGGUUCGCUUGACAAGUUUCUACAGACGAAUUUAAAAUAAAUAUUUUUGUUAUUAACA
Molecule: long non-coding RNA, 3807 nt
Organism: Micropterus salmoides (largemouth bass)
Lineage: Eukaryota; Metazoa; Chordata; Actinopteri; Centrarchiformes; Centrarchidae
Exons: 2
Source: RefSeq, a predicted model, not a curated record